AAUAGAUACCCGGGUAGUCCACGCCGUAAACGAUGAGUGCUAAGUGUUAGAGGGUUUCCGCCCUUUAGUGCUGCAGCUAACGCAUUAAGCACUCCGCCUGGGGAGUACGGCCGCAAGGCUGAAACUCAAAGGAAUUGACGGGGGCCCGCACAAGCGGUGGAGCAUGUGGUUUAAUUCGAAGCAACGCGAAGAACCUUACCAGGUCUUGACAUCCUCUGACAACCCUAGAGAUAGGGCUUUCCCCCUUCGGGGGACAGAGUGACAGGUGGUGCAUGGUUGUCGUCAGCUCGUGUCGUGAGAUGUUGGGUUAAGUCCCGCAACGAGCGCAACCCUUGAUCUUAGUUACCAGCAUUCAGUUGGGCACUCUAAGGUGACUGCCGGUGACAAACCGGAGGAAGGUGGGGAUGACGUCAAAUCAUCAUGCCCCUUAUGACCUGGGCUACACACGUGCUACAAUGGAUGGUACAAAGGGCUGCAAACCUGCGAAGGUAAGCGAAUCCCAUAAAGCCAUUCUCAGUUCGGAUUGCAGG
Molecule: ribosomal RNA, 530 nt
Filed under: uncultured bacterium
Lineage: Bacteria
Description: bacterial SSU rRNA
Rfam family: Bacterial small subunit ribosomal RNA
Source: RNAcentral